RNAcentral lists this transfer RNA (72 nucleotides) under Pleurosigma sp. mgcode 4. Its description in RNAcentral is "tRNA-Ala". It matches the Rfam family "tRNA". Rfam says of the family: Transfer RNA (tRNA) molecules are approximately 80 nucleotides in length. Their secondary structure includes four short double-helical elements and three loops (D, anti-codon, and T loops). Lineage: Eukaryota; Bacillariophyta; Bacillariophyceae; Naviculales; Pleurosigmataceae. The record is from RNAcentral.
GGGGGUAUAACUCAAUGGUAGAGUGUAUGCUUUGCAAGCAUAAAGUUAUCGGUUCAAGUCCGAUUACCUCCA